AUAAAAAACAUUUACCAUUUACUGGCAAAACAUUGACUCCAGUAUAAGCCGAGAGUGGUAAAUUUCAGAAAUAAAAAUAGAUACCAAUAAAAUUCCAUUAAUUGAGGCCAGUCCUUUUGCAAGGACAAGAAAGAUCCACCAUAAUCAGAGUAAGCCUUUUUAUCCUGAAAGCUAUCAAGAAAAGAGCACAUUUCCUGAAAGAGAAUCAGGAAAAUAAGAUUUGACGGCAACCAAAAGGUCAGCUGCCUGUCCUCCCAUCCUUUUUGCCUUGUUUUUAUUUUAUGUUGCACUUUGAAAUGGUCAUAUGACUGGUCAAACAACAUUAAUUGAGGCAUCAGUAGGUUGAGGCAUCAGUAGGUUAAAUGUUUUGGAAUAUUUACAUCAAGUUCUAAUUUAAGAUAAGACUGUCCAACUCUGAUCAAAGAAUUAUUCUCACCUUCUUCAAUGUAAAUGUGCUUAUGUAUCCUUUUAAUAAUAAUAGAGUAAAAUAAUACAUGUAAUAAGAAUAAUAAUAAAUACAGGAAAAUAAUACAAGUAAUAAUAAAUAGAGUAAAAUAAUAAAUGCAAUAAUAAUAAUAAGAUCAGAGUGAAAUAAUAAAUGUAUUAAUAAUAAUAAUAAUAAUAAUAAUAAUAAUAAUAAUAAUAAUAAUAAUAGAGUAACAAGUACCACCUUCCAGCAGCAAAGAACUGGUGGGAUCACAAACCUGCAAAAGUAUUGGAAAAUGAACACGCAAAGAUACUGUGGGAUUUCCGAAUCCAGGCUGACAAAGUUCUGGAACACAACACACCAGACAUCACAGUUGUGGAAAAGAAAAAGGUUUGGAUCAUUGAUGUCGCCAUCCCAGUGACAAAAAACAACAGGAAAAACUCAGCCACUAUCAGGACCUCAAGAUUGAACUUCAAAGACUCUGGCAGAAACCAGUGCAGGUGGUCCCGGUGGUGAUCGGCAACACUCCAGAAGACACCACCAAAGUGGUGGAAAUAAUAAUAAUAAUAAUAAUAAUAAUAAUAAUAAUAAUAAGUGUACCGGUGGUGAUGGGUAUACUGGGUGCCAUGUCAAAAGAUCUCAGCUUGCAUUUGGAAAGAAUAAACAUUGACAAAAUUACGAUCUGCCAACUGCAAAAGGCCACCCAACUGGGAUCUGCACACAUCAUCCGAAAAUACAUCACACAGUCCUAGACACUUGGGAAGUGUUCGACUUGUGAUUUUGUGAUACGAAAUCCAGCAUAUCUAUCUUGUUUGCUGUG
RNAcentral lists this long non-coding RNA (1247 nucleotides) under Anolis carolinensis (green anole). RNAcentral describes it as "lncRNA (ENSACAG00000045154.1)". The record is from RNAcentral. Lineage: Eukaryota; Metazoa; Chordata; Lepidosauria; Squamata; Anolidae.